Molecule: unclassified non-coding RNA, 403 nt
Filed under: plant metagenome
Description: partial contains 5.8S ribosomal RNA, internal transcribed spacer 2, and large subunit ribosomal RNA
Rfam family: 5.8S ribosomal RNA (bases 1-105)
Source: RNAcentral
GAAAUGCGAUACGUAGUGUGAAUUGCAGAAUUCCGUGAAUCAUCGAAUCUUUGAACGCAUAUUGCGCCCAAGGCUUCGGCCGAGGGCAUGUCUGCCUCAGCGUCGGGUUAAUAUCUCCAACCACAAUCCAUGUGUUUGUGUGCUUGGGGGAACUGGCAGUCCCAGUUUAUUGCUUUACCGCAUAUAUAGCUGGGUUUGCUGAAGCGUAGAAAGGCGUGCAUGUGCCGUUAUACGGCUGCAGUUGGGUAGGCGAAGCAUUCAUGCUAGCUGCUCAUGCUUAACUGUUGGCCUGGCGUGUGCGAUUUGCCUUGCAAUGCUGGAAUGCUUGUGUAAUGCAAGCAUGAACAUAUAACUCUUAUUAUCUCGACCUGAGCUCAGGCAAGGUUACCCGCUGAACUUAAGC